Molecule: ribosomal RNA, 460 nt
Filed under: uncultured bacterium
Lineage: Bacteria
Description: partial 16S ribosomal RNA
Rfam family: Bacterial small subunit ribosomal RNA
Source: RNAcentral
CCUACGGGAGGCAGCAGUGAGGAAUAUUGGUCAAUGGGCGAGAGCCUGAACCAGCCAGGUCGCGUGAAGGAUGACGGCCCUACGGGUUGUAAACUUCUUUUGUCAGGGAGCAAUUGAGUCCACGUUUGGUCUUAGCGAGAGUACGUGAAGAAAAAGCAUCGGCUAACCCCGUACGAGCAGCCGCGGUUACACGGAGGAUGCGAGCGUUCUCCGGAUUUUUUGGGUAAAAAGGGUGCGUAGGCGGAAUAUCAAGUCAGCGGUAAAAAUUCGGGGCUCAACCCCGUCGUGCCGUUGAAACUGAUGUUCUGGAGUGGGCGAGAGGUAUGCGGAAUGCGUGGUGUAGCGGUGAAAUGCAUAGAUAACACGCAGAACCCCGAUUGCGAAGGCAGCAUACCGGCGCACAACUGACGCUGAAGCACGAAAGCGUGGGUAUCGAACAGGAUUAGAUACCCUUGUAGUC